UACGUAGGGUGCGAGCGUUAAUCGGAAUUACUGGGCGUAAAGCGCGCGCAGGUGGUUUCUUAAGUCUGAUGUGAAAGCCCACGGCUCAACCGUGGAGGGUCAUUGGAAACUGGGGAACUUGAGUGCAGAAGAGGAAAGUGGAAUUCCAAGUGUAGCGGUGAAAUGCGUAGAGAUUUGGAGGAACACCAGUGGCGAAGGCGACUUUCUGGUCUGUAACUGACACUGAGGCGCGAAAGCGUGGGGAGCGAACAGG
Molecule: ribosomal RNA, 253 nt
Filed under: uncultured bacterium
Lineage: Bacteria
Description: partial 16S ribosomal RNA
Rfam family: Bacterial small subunit ribosomal RNA
Source: RNAcentral